GAUGAACGCUGGCGGCGUGCCUAAUACAUGCAAGUCGAGCGAACAGACGAGGAGCUUGCUCCUCUGACGUUAGCGGCGGACGGGUGAGUAACACGUGGAUAACCUACCUAUAAGACUGGGAUAACUUCGGGAAACCGGAGCUAAUACCGGAUAAUAUAUUGAACCGCAUGGUUCAAUAGUGAAAGACGGUUUUGCUGUACCUUAUAGAUGGAUCCGCGGCGGUUUAGCUAGUUGGUAAGUUAACGGACUACCAAGGGAACGAUACGUAGCCGACCGGAGAGGGUGGUCGGCCACCAUGGGAAGGGGACCAGGCACAGAAUCCUGCGGGAGGGAGCAGGAGGGAAUCUUCGGGAAGGGGGGCAAACCUGAACGAGACACGCCGGGGGAGGGAAGAAGGUUUUCGGGUCGUAAAGCUUUUUUGUAAGGCAAGAACAGGUGUGAGAGUGGAAAGUUCACUCCGUGACGGUAGCUAACCAGAAAGCGAGGGCUAACUACGUG
This 498-nucleotide ribosomal RNA is filed under the name uncultured bacterium. RNAcentral's name for it is "partial 16S ribosomal RNA". It matches the Rfam family "Bacterial small subunit ribosomal RNA", at positions 28 to 507 of the family's 1533-position model. The record is from RNAcentral.